RNAcentral lists this ribosomal RNA (444 nucleotides) under uncultured bacterium. RNAcentral describes it as "bacterial SSU rRNA". It matches the Rfam family "Bacterial small subunit ribosomal RNA", at positions 958 to 1399 of the family's 1533-position model. The record is from RNAcentral.
AACGCGAAGAACCUUACCUGGGCUUGAACCGCACAGGACCAGCUUGAGAAAUCAGGCCUUCCCGCAAGGGACCUGUGUAGAGGUGCUGCAUGGCUGUCGUCAGCUCGUGCCGUGAGGUGUUGGGUUAAGUCCCUUAACGAGCGCAACCCUUGCCUCUAAUUGCCAGCGAGUAAUGUCGGGAACUUUAGAGGGACUGCCAGUGACAAACUGGAGGAAGGUGGGAAUGACGUCAAGUCAUCAUGGCCCUUAUGAGCAGGGCUACACACGUAAUACAAUGGGACAUACAAAGGGAAGCCAACCCGCGAGGGGGAGCGAAUCUCAAAAAAUGUCUCGUAGUCCGGAUUGGAGUCUGCAACUCGACUCCAUGAAGCUGGAAUCGCUAGUAAUCGUGGAUCAGAAUGCCGCGGUGAAUACGUUCCCGGGCCUUGUACACACCGACGCGUA